Molecule: ribosomal RNA, 1492 nt
Filed under: Saccharum spontaneum (wild sugarcane)
Lineage: Eukaryota; Viridiplantae; Streptophyta; Magnoliopsida; Poales; Poaceae
Description: bacterial SSU rRNA
Rfam family: Bacterial small subunit ribosomal RNA
Source: RNAcentral
GGUCCCCUGGGAGAACGCUUUGGGCGGCAUGCUUAACACAUGCAAGUCGAACCGGGAAGUGGUGUUUCCAGUGGCGACGGUGGAGUAACGCGUAAGAACCUGCCCUGGGAGGGGAAAACAACUGGAAAACGGUUGCUAAUACCCCGUAGGCUGAGGAGCAAAAGGAGAAAUCCGCCCAAGGAGGGGCUCGCGUAGGAUUAGCUAGUUGGUGAGGCCAAUAGCCUUACCAAGGCGAUUGAUCAGUAGCUGCGUCGAGAGGAUGAUAAGCCACACUGGGACUGAGACACGGCCCAGAAUCCACGGGGGAGGCAGCAGUGGGGAAUUUUUCGCAAUGGGCGAAAAGCCUGAACGGAGCAAUGCCGCUGGAGGUGGAAGGCCUAGGGUCGUCAAAUUCUUUUCUCGGAGAAGAAACAAUGACGGUAUCUGAGAAUAGCAUCGGCUAACUCUGUGCCAGCAGCAGCCCGGUAAGAAGAGGAUUGCAGCGUUAUCCGGAAUGAUUGGGCGUAAAGCGUCGUGUGGCUUUUCAAGUCCGCCGUCAAAUCCCAGGGAUCAACCUGGACAGCGGUGGAAAACUACCAAGCUGAUAACGGUAGGCGCCAGAGGGAAUUUCCGGUGGAGCGGUGAAAGGCAUGAGACGGAAAGAACCACCAACGGCGAAAGCAUAUGACUGGGCCGACACUGACAAACUGAGAGGACGAAAGCUAGGGGAGCAAAUGGAUUCGAGACCCCAGUAGUCCUAGCCGUAAACGAUGGAUACUGGUGCUGUGCGACUCGACCCGUGCAUAGUGACUGUAGACUAACGCGUUUAAGUAUCCGCCUGGGGAGUUACGUUAGCAAGGGAAUGAAACUCAAAGGAAUGCGGGGGGCCCGCACAAGCGGUGGAGCCAUGUGGUUUAAUGCGAUGCAAAAGCGAAGAACCUUACCAGGAUUGACAUGCCGCGAUCCUCUUGAGAAAAAGAAGCGGGGUGCCCCGGGAACGCGGACACAGGUGGAGUGCAUGGCUGUCGUCAGCUCGUGCCCGUAAGGUGUUGGGUUAAGUCUUCGCAACGAGCGCAAACACUCGUGUGUCCUUCAGUUGAAACUAUGAGUUGGAAACCACUGCACAGACCGGCCGGGGUUAAGCCGGAGGAAGGAGGAGGAUGAGGCAAAGUAUCAUGCCCCUUAGCCCUGGGACGACCACACGUGCUACAAUGGGCGGGACAACGGGUCGCGAUCUCCGCGAGGACGUGGAUAACUCCCAAAAAACCCGUCCUACAGUUACGGAUUGCAGGCUGCAACUCGCCGACUGAAGCAGGAUCGGCUAGUAAUCGCCGGUCAGGCCAUACGGCUGCGUGUGAAUCCGCCCCGGGCCUUGUUUAACACAGCCCGUCACACUAUAGGAGGCUGGCCAGGUUUUGAAGUCAUUACCCUUAACGUAGGAGGGGAUGCCUAAGGCUAGGCUUGCCGACUGGAAGUGACGUGUAACAAGGUAGCCGUACUGGAGGUGCGGCUG